GAAUGAACGCUGGCGGCGUGCCUAACACAUGCAAGUCGCACGAGAAAGUCCCAGCUUGCUGGGGCUAGUAAAGUGGCGCACGGGUGAGUAACGCGUGGGUAAUCUACCUCCGAAUUGGGGAUAACAUUGCGAAAGCGGUGCUAAUACCGAAUGACAUCACCGAGGCUACGGCCUUGGUGAUCAAAGGUGGCCUCUACAUGUAAGCUAUUGUUUGGAGAUGAGCCCGCGUACCAUUAGCUAGUUGGUAGGGUAAUGGCCUACCAAGGCUACGAUGGUUAGCUGGUCUGAGAGGAUGAUCAGCCACACUGGAACUGACACACGGUCCAGACUCCUACGGGAGGCAGCAGUGAGGAAUUUUGCGCAAUGGGGGAAACCCUGACGCAGCAACGCCGCGUGAGUGAUGAAGGCUUUCGGGUCGUAAAGCUCUGUCAAGUGGGAAGAACCUGCUUCGUGAUAAUACCACGAAGCACUGACGGUACCACUGAAGGAAGCACCGGCUAACUCCGUGCCAGCAGCCGCGGUAAUACGGGGGGUGCUAGCGUUAUUCGGAAUCAUUGGGCGUAAAGGGCGCGUAGGCGGUCUCUUAAGUCAGAUGUGAAAGCCCUCGGCUUAACCGAGGAAGUGCAUUUGAUACUAAGUGACUUGAGUAUGGGAGAGGGAAGCGGNAUUCCUGGUGUAGCNGUGAAAUACGUAGAUAUCNNNAAGAACACCAGUGGCGAAGGNNGCUUCCUGGUCCAUUACUGACGCUGAGGCGCGAAAGCGUGGGGAGCAAACAGGAUUAGAUACCCUGGUAGUCCACGCUGUAAACGAUGAAUACUAGGUGUCGGGUCGAAAGGUUCGGUACCGAAGCUAACGCAUUAAGUAUUCCACCUGGGGAGUACGAUCGCAAGGUUGAAACUCAAAGGAAUUGACGGGGGCUCACACAAGCGGUGGAGCAUGUGGCUUAAUUCGAGGCAACGCGAAGAACCUUAUCCUGGGUUUGACAUGCAUGGAUUAACCCUCUGAAAGGAGGGCCACACUCGCAAGAGUGGAACAUGCACAGGUGCUGCAUGGCUGUCGUCAGUUCGUGUCGUGAGAUGUCGCGUUAAGUCGCUAAACGAACGCAACCCCUAUCUUUAGUUGCCAGCGCGUCAUGGCGGGGACUCUAGAGAGACUGCCGGUGUCAAACCGGAGGAAGGCGGGGAUGACGUCAAGUCCUCAUGGCCUUUAUGCCCAGGGCUGCACACGUGCUACAAUGGGACGUACAAAGCGCAGCAAGCCUGCGAAGGCAAGCGAAUCGCAAAAAGCGUCCCCCAGUUCGGAUUGCAGGCUGCAACUCGCCUGCAUGAAGCCGGAAUCGCUAGUAAUCGCCGAUCAGCAUUGCGGCGGUGAAUGUGUUCCUGAGCC
This 1386-nucleotide ribosomal RNA is filed under the name uncultured soil bacterium. RNAcentral's name for it is "bacterial SSU rRNA". It matches the Rfam family "Bacterial small subunit ribosomal RNA", at positions 27 to 1380 of the family's 1533-position model. The record is from RNAcentral.